CCUACGGGAGGCAGCAGUGGGGAAUUUUCCGCAAUGGGCGAAAGCCUGACGGAGCAAUACCGCGUGAGGGAAGACUGCCUAUGGGUUGUAAACCUCUUUUUUCAGGGAGGAAUAAAAUGACGUGUACCUGAAGAAUAAGCAUCGGCUAACUCCGUGCCAGCAGCCGCGGUAAGACGGAGGAUGCAAGUGUUAUCCGGAAUCACUGGGCGUAAAGCGUCUGUAGGUGGUUUAAUAAGUCAACUGUUAAAUCUUGAGGCUCAACUUCAAAAUCGCAGUCGAAACUAUUAGACUAGAGUAUAGUAGAGGUAAAGGGAAUUUCCAGUGGAGCGGUGAAAUGCGUAGAUAUUGGAAAGAACACCGAUGGCGAAAGCACUUUACUGGGCUAUUACUAACACUCAGAGACGAAAGCUAGGGUAGCAAAUGGGAUUAGAUACCCCAGUAGUCCUAGCCGUAAACUAUGGAUACUAGAUGUUGAACAGAUCGACCUGUGCAGUAUCAAAGCUAACGCGUUAAGUAUCCCGCCUGGGAAGUAUGCUCGCAAGAGUGAAACUCAAAGGAAUUGACGG
RNAcentral lists this ribosomal RNA (566 nucleotides) under uncultured bacterium. Its description in RNAcentral is "bacterial SSU rRNA". It matches the Rfam family "Bacterial small subunit ribosomal RNA", at positions 338 to 916 of the family's 1533-position model. The record is from RNAcentral.